AUCUUAUAUAAGCAUGGUGAAAGCUGAGAAGAGAUAUUCUCAACAGAAACACCUUUGCCAUGGAGGCCAUGGAUUUCCUAUAAACAAAUAGCUCCAGUGAGUAAAAUUAUAAAUGGGUAGUCAUAAGACGUGUAAACGUACCUAAAGCAGAGCAUAUAGUUCAGGAAUAUUCUCCACAAGUGUCUCAAAUAAUCAGAUCCAAGCAACCAUGAGCAUGACAAAAUUAAGUAUUAGGUAUGUAUUGUUUCAUUUGAUAAUUCUAGGAUGUUUGUACUUCACAUCAGAGUUCAGUUGUUUCAACAUCUUUGUUUCUCUAAUGCAGCUACUACUACAUCCUGAAUCUGAUGAUUCGGCUCAACUUUCCUAGAUUGAGACUGAAAAGCUGCUAGCCCAGUUAGUUGAGACUGAGAUGAACAGACGUUUGAAGGAGGACACUUACAAAGGAAAGAAGUUUAAUGCAAUCUGUCACUUCUUGGGCUACCAAGCUAGGGGAGCACUGCCUUCAAAGUUUGAUUGUGAUUAUGCCUACGCAAGUCCCUCACCAGCACAUUUAAUAAAGAAUAUUGAUUGUUGUUGGUUUAACACGUGGGUUAUUGGUCUCAGUUUUUGGGGCAUGUGUGCUACCACAUCAUAGCUGCCGGAUUGGAUGGAUAACGGAUACAUGGCUACAGUGAGAAAUCUUAAGAAUCCAGUGAACAAGUGGCGAUGUGGUGUGACUCCUAUUUCGGUAAGAUUUGUAUGCCUAAUAGUUUAGGAAAAGUAAGAAUGUAGCGUCUAACCCAUGUCUAUCCCUGCUGUCUAUGAUGACUGUGAAGCGAUGAUCAAGUGAUUGUUUUAUGUCUGUUUUAUAUGCAAAAAAUAUAAUCAAGUUUUAUCGAAGAUGCUACUAAAAGUUUUUUCUUAUGAAUUUUAAUUACUGAAUCUAAUUUCUGAUCCGCUUGUGUCUUUACUCUAAAUGAUAGUAUUACUACUUUAUUCGUUUGAUGGGACACAAGGCUUCUCAUGUGGCAUUGGAAUGUGCUCUUCAAUCACAUCCAAACAUGGUAUGUUUUUUCCUUACUUGCAUGUGACCUGUCACAUUUUUUUCUCACAUGGAUCUGGAAGAGCCGCGUGAGAGGAAGCUAAAGGGUUCUGGCUUAAGCUGUAUCAGGUCAAAAUUUUCACCAUUGAUCCAACCUCUGCUGCGGCAAUUUCCAGGUAGGCUCCGCAUCCCCUCCCGGUUGUGUGAUUCUAGCGGCAACAGCGAGGUGACAA
Molecule: long non-coding RNA, 1254 nt
Organism: Zea mays
Lineage: Eukaryota; Viridiplantae; Streptophyta; Magnoliopsida; Poales; Poaceae
Exons: 3
Source: RefSeq, a predicted model, not a curated record